UCAGGAUGAACGCUAGCGAUAGGCCUAACACAUGCAAGUCGAGGGGCAGCAUAUGACGUAGCAAUACAGAUGAUGGCGACCGGCGGAUGGGUGAGUAACACGUAUGCAACCUACCUUUAACACGGGCAUAACUCGAAGAAAUUCGUGCUAAUUCCCGAUAAAACAGGGGCGCCGCAUGGCGAUAUUUGUUAAAGAUUAAUCGGUUAAAGAUGGGCAUGCGUUCCAUUAGCUAGUUGGUGAGGUAACUGCUCACCAAGGCAACGAUGGAUAGGGGGACCUGAGAGGUUUAUCCCCCACACUGGUACUGAGACACGGACCAGACUCCUACGGGAGGCAGCAGUGAGGAAUAUUGGUCAAUGAGCGAAAGCUUGAACCAGCCAAGUCGCGUGAAAAGGAUGAAUGUCCUAAGGAUUGUAAACUUCUUUUAUACAGGAAUAAAGUUAGCCACGUGUGGUUAUUUGCAUGUACUGUAUGAAUAAGGAUCGGCUAACUCCGUGCCAGCCGCAGC
Molecule: ribosomal RNA, 508 nt
Filed under: uncultured bacterium
Lineage: Bacteria
Description: bacterial SSU rRNA
Rfam family: Bacterial small subunit ribosomal RNA
Source: RNAcentral